RNAcentral lists this long non-coding RNA (226 nucleotides) under Elaeis guineensis (African oil palm). RNAcentral's name for it is "long non-coding RNA (EGUI_LNC022515)". The record is from RNAcentral. Lineage: Eukaryota; Viridiplantae; Streptophyta; Magnoliopsida; Arecales; Arecaceae.
CCCACGGAUAUCUGAAAAGAUAAUGAAAAGAAAAAAAAAUAUUCUACGUAAGAAAAAAUUUAUUUUUCAUUUUUUUCAUCUUUUCUUUUAUUUUCUUUUAUUUUUUUUCAUUUUCUUUUGCUGUUUUCAUCUUCAAAAGUCCAAUGGGAUGGAAGGCUUGGAGUGGCCGAAUAUAGAAGCUUAGAAAAGGUGGAGCAAUCGAAUAUGGGAAGCUUAAACGGUUAGG